GACGAACGCUGGCGGCGUGCUUAACACAUGCAAGUCGAACGGAAAGGCCCCUUCGGGGGUACUCGAGUGGCGAACAGGUGAGUAACACGUGAGUAACCUGCCCUUGACUUCGGGAUAACUUCAGGAAACUGGGGCUAAUACCGGAUAGGAAUCCUUGCUGCAUGGUGGGGGUUGGAAAGCUUCGGCGGUUUUGGAUGGACUCGCGGCUUAUCAGCUUGUUGGUGGGGUAGUGGCUUACCAAGGCUUUGACGGGUAGCCGGCCUGAGAGGGCGACCGGCCACAUUGGGACUGCGCUACGGCCCAGACUCCUACGGGAGGCAGCAGUGGGGAAUAUUGCACAAUGGGCGGAAGCCUGAUGCAGCAACGCCGCGUGCGGGAUGACGGCCUUCGGGUUGUAAGCCGCUUUCAGCAGGGGCGAAGCUUGUGGUGACGGUACCUGCAGAAGAAGCACCGGCUAACUACGUG
RNAcentral lists this ribosomal RNA (465 nucleotides) under uncultured bacterium. Its description in RNAcentral is "partial 16S ribosomal RNA". It matches the Rfam family "Bacterial small subunit ribosomal RNA", at positions 28 to 507 of the family's 1533-position model. The record is from RNAcentral.